Molecule: small RNA, 134 nt
Filed under: chicken gut metagenome
Description: Clostridiales-1 RNA
Rfam family: Clostridiales-1 RNA
Source: RNAcentral
AUACAGACUGCGUGCUCGCACGCAAGGAUGUAUUCACAUCGGACGGGCUCGCUGGUAUGAGAAAUAAGGCCGCUAGGCCGGUUUUCGAAUACCUGCGACGAUUGCGGGAACGCCGCAGGCGUGCAGCAAUCGGC